This 490-nucleotide ribosomal RNA is filed under the name uncultured bacterium. RNAcentral describes it as "partial 16S ribosomal RNA". It matches the Rfam family "Bacterial small subunit ribosomal RNA", at positions 30 to 507 of the family's 1533-position model. The record is from RNAcentral.
AUUGAACGCUGGCGGCAGGCCUAACACAUGCAAGUCGAACGGUAACAGGAAACAGCUUGCUGUUUCGCUGACGAGUGGCGGACGGGUGAGUAAUGUCUGGGAAACUGCCUGAUGGAGGGGGAUAACUACUGGAAACGGUAGCUAAUACCGCAUAACGUCGCAAGACCAAAGAGGGGGACCCUCGGGCCUCUUGCCAUCGGAUGUGCCCAGAUGGGAUUAGCUUGUUGGUGGGGUAACGGCUCACCAAGGCGACGAUCCCUAGCUGGUCUGAGAGGAUGACCAGCCACACUGGAACUGAGACACGGUCCAGACUCCUACGGGAGGCAGCAGUGGGGAAUAUUGCACAAUGGGCGCAAGCCUGAUGCAGCCAUGCCGCGUGUAUGAAGAAGGCCUUCGGGUUGUAAAGUUCUUUCAGCGGGGAGGAAGGGAGUAAAGUUAAUACCUUUGCUCAUUGACGUUACCCGCAGAAGAAGCACCGGCUAACUCCGUG